Molecule: small nuclear RNA, 295 nt
Filed under: Erinaceus europaeus (western European hedgehog)
Lineage: Eukaryota; Metazoa; Chordata; Mammalia; Eulipotyphla; Erinaceidae
Description: 7SK RNA
Rfam family: 7SK RNA
About the family: 7SK was discovered as an abundant small nuclear RNA in the mid-70s but a possible function has only recently been suggested. Two independent studies have found that 7SK RNA binds the CDK9/cyclin T complex (known as elongation factor P-TEFb). P-TEFb activates transcription by phosphorylating the C-terminal domain of RNA polymerase II.
Source: Rfam by way of RNAcentral
GGAUGUGAGGGCGAUCUGUCUGCGACAUCUGUCACCCCAAUGAUCGCCAGGGUUGAUUCUGCUGAUCUGGCUGGCUAGGCGGGUGGGACUUAAUCCCUCACCUCUCCAUGUGCUUCCCUCCUGAAGCUGUGCACUCAGUCAGAGGACUGCCUUCCCUGAAUAGAGACAGACUGGUCUUCAGUUGAGGGUACAGGAGUAGCUGUGCUCCCCUGCUAGAACCUCCAAACAAGCUCUCAAGGUUAUUGUCAUCCUUCUAAAAUAAGACCCUAUAUCCAUUAGCUAGCUGUCAUUCCUU